ACGCUCGACACCUACUGGAGGCAGCAGUGGGGAAUAUUGCACAAUGGGGGAAACCCUGAUGCAGCGACGCCGCGUGAGCGAAGAAGUAUUUCGGUAUGUAAAGCUCUAUCAGCAGGGAAGAAAAUGACGGUACCUGACUAAGAAGCCCCGGCUAACUACGUGCCAACAGCCGCGGUAAUCUGAGCGGGCGUGGCAAGGC
RNAcentral lists this ribosomal RNA (199 nucleotides) under uncultured bacterium. RNAcentral describes it as "partial 16S ribosomal RNA". It matches the Rfam family "Bacterial small subunit ribosomal RNA", at positions 328 to 538 of the family's 1533-position model. The record is from RNAcentral.